This 507-nucleotide ribosomal RNA is filed under the name uncultured bacterium. RNAcentral's name for it is "bacterial SSU rRNA". It matches the Rfam family "Bacterial small subunit ribosomal RNA", at positions 26 to 518 of the family's 1533-position model. The record is from RNAcentral.
AGGAUGAACGCUAGCGACAGGCUUAACACAUGCAAGUACGAGGGGCGAGCGAUAGAAGUAGCAAUACUUUGGUGGCGACCGGCGCACGGGUGAGUAACGCGUAUGCAACCUACCUGUCAGAGGGGACGUAACCCGGCGAAAGUCGGACUAAUACCGCAUAAAACAGGGGCACCGCAUGGUGAUAUUUGUUAAAGAAAUUCGCUGAUAGAUGGGCAUGCGUUCCAUUAGGUAGUUGGUGAGGUAACGGCUCACCAAGCCGACGAUGGAUAGGGGAACUGAGAGGUUGGUCCCCCACACUGGUACUGAGACACGGACCAGACUCCUACGGGAGGCAGCAGUGAGGAAUAUUGGUCAAUGGGCGGGAGCCUGAACCAGCCAAGUCGCGUGAAGGAAAAGAAGGAUCUAUGGUUCGUAAACUUCUUUUGCGAGGGGAAUAAAGUGCAGGACGUGUCCUGUUUUGUAUGUACCCUGAGAAUAAGGAUCGGCUAACUCCGUGCCAGCAGCAGC